This 379-nucleotide ribosomal RNA is filed under the name Staphylococcus aureus. RNAcentral's name for it is "partial 23S ribosomal RNA". It matches the Rfam family "Bacterial large subunit ribosomal RNA", at positions 1181 to 1561 of the family's 2925-position model. The record is from RNAcentral. Lineage: Bacteria; Bacillati; Bacillota; Bacilli; Caryophanales; Staphylococcaceae.
CUAAACAUAUUACCGAAGCUGUGGAUUGUCCUUUGGACAAUGGUAGGAGAGCGUUCUAAGGGCGUUGAAGCAUGAUCGUAAGGACAUGUGGAGCGCUUAGAAGUGAGAAUGCCGGUGUGAGUAGCGAAAGACGGGUGAGAAUCCCGUCCACCGAUUGACUAAGGUUUCCAGAGGAAGGCUCGUCCGCUCUGGGUUAGUCGGGUCCUAAGCUGAGGCCGACAGGCGUAGGCGAUGGAUAACAGGUUGAUAUUCCUGUACCACCUAUAAUCGUUUUAAUCGAUGGGGGGACGCAGUAGGAUAGGCGAAGCGUGCGAUUGGAUUGCACGUCUAAGCAGUAAGGCUGAGUAUUAGGCAAAUCCGGUACUCGUUAAGGCUGAGC